GUGCCAGCCGCCGCGGUAAUACGAAGGGUGCAAGCGUUAAUCGGAAUUACUGGGCGUAAAGCGUGCGUAGGUGGUUUGUUAAGUCUGAUGUGAAAGCCCUGGGCUCAACCUGGGAAUGGCAUUGGAAACUGGCUUACUAGAGUGCGGUAGAGGGUAGCGGAAUUUCCGGUGUAGCGGUGAAAUGCGUAGAGAUCGGAAGGAACAUCCGUGGCGAAGGCGGCUACCUGGACCAGCACUGACACUGAGGCACGAAAGCGUGGGGAGCAAACAGGAUUAGAUACCCUGGUAGUCCACGCCCUAAACGAUGCGAACUGGACGUUGGGCUCAACUUGGAGCUCAGUGUCGAAGCUAACGCGUUAAGUUCGCCGCCUGGGGAGUACGGUCGCAAGACUGAA
This 395-nucleotide ribosomal RNA is filed under the name uncultured bacterium. Its description in RNAcentral is "bacterial SSU rRNA". It matches the Rfam family "Bacterial small subunit ribosomal RNA", at positions 505 to 898 of the family's 1533-position model. The record is from RNAcentral.